Topomyia yanbarensis is the source of this 1095-nucleotide long non-coding RNA. RefSeq lists it as uncharacterized. The record is from RefSeq and is a predicted model, not a curated record. The transcript is spliced from 3 exons. Lineage: Eukaryota; Metazoa; Arthropoda; Insecta; Diptera; Culicidae.
UUCAGUGUUAGGACUGAAUCAAAUGACAAUCGUUUGAAGCGCUUCAUGCGAUCAUGAGAGAAGCUUUACUAUAUUUUGUUUUCUUUUCUAUGGUAACAGUGCAGUCGCAAAAACCGCAUGCGUUUGCGAAAAAGUUUUGCAAAUAUCGUUGCUUGUUCCACUGUAGCGUUCCCAAAAAAAAUCUAAACCGGUGCUAUGGAAGGAUACAAGCGUCUUGAUUCAAAGAUCCAGUUGGGCAUGUACGAUAUCAUCAGCAGCUUCCUUGGAACUACAAAAGAGCAAACAGCUGACCGAAGCUCAAAUGUAACAAGGUCGUCGAAGUCUCUCAGAUUGCUACCCACAAGCUCCAUGUUGCGAUUCAAAAUCGGAAUCACAAUCCUGAACUAAGCACCGUAGGCUGAUUUGUUGGAAGCCGGAUUUUUUUUAGUAUUUGUGACGGUAUCUUUCGUGUGCAUGAAAUGAAGAAAACCCAAGAAAAUGGAGCAAUUCUCUUCCGGUAUCAAAGUUGGCUUUAAAAAAGAGAUAUUUGCUCAUGCCAUCGUCGAUGUUCUGAUCGGUAACAAGUUUCUAGACCAUGCCAUUGAUGCGCUGGGUAACGCUGUUACGGAAAGAGCAAAAUCGCCACCGCUCAGAUUCUGCGAGUCGGUAUCCAUACAGGCUGGAAAACUCGCAUUGAAGAUAUAUACUAUCAUAGGCGUUUCAAUGACCGUCAAUCUCGUCGAAUAUGUACUAUCAUAAAUCGCCAUCGCUCAAGUGUUCGAUUGUGGCCAAAGAGAUGCUUGGCCGAUGCCUUUCAAGAAUUACACUGUCAUUAUUCCGGUUAUCUGGUGCAACUUUGCGAGACCUUGGUAGAACGUACUUUAAAGGCGAAAGAAGGCGACAACGGAAAAAGAAAACUACGAGUACGACGAAAUAAAAGCAUCUCUGAAAUGAUAACUGAAUCCGGUGGAGAUCACAUUAAUCGGAGAGGUUUAUUUGAAGAAAACGCUUCCUCGACGGAAAAUAUUUCCUGCUGUCAGAAAUCAAAUGCACUUGCCUUUUUUCUAAUCGCAGCAUAGAGUUAUUGUUAUUGGAAUUUAAAUUGAAAGAACUGUA